UGAAAAGGUCAUCUCCGCACAGUAACCCG
RNAcentral lists this small RNA (29 nucleotides) under Bombyx mori (domestic silkworm). Its description in RNAcentral is "ovarian small RNA-30351". Lineage: Eukaryota; Metazoa; Arthropoda; Insecta; Lepidoptera; Bombycidae. The record is from RNAcentral.